RNAcentral lists this ribosomal RNA (508 nucleotides) under uncultured bacterium. RNAcentral's name for it is "partial 16S ribosomal RNA". It matches the Rfam family "Bacterial small subunit ribosomal RNA", at positions 30 to 523 of the family's 1533-position model. The record is from RNAcentral.
AUUGAACGCUGGCGGCAUGCCUUACACAUGCGAGUCGAACGGCAGCGGGGGAGAAGCUUGCUUUUCCUGCCGGCGAGUGGCGAACGGGUGAGUAAUACAUCGGAACGUGCCCUGUAGUGGGGGAUAACUAGUCGAAAGAUUAGCUAAUACCGCAUACGACCUGAGGGUGAAAGUGGGGGACCGCAAGGCCUCAUGCUAUAGGAGCGGCCGAUGUCUGAUUAGCUAGUUGGUGGGGUAAAGGCCUACCAAGGCGACGAUCAGUAGCUGGUCUGAGAGGACGAUCAGCCACACUGGGACUGAGACACGGCCCAGACUCCUACGGGAGGCAGCAGUGGGGAAUUUUGGACAAUGGGCGAAAGCCUGAUCCAGCAAUGCCGCGUGUGUGAAGAAGGCCUUCGGGUUGUAAAGCACUUUCGUCCGGAAAGAAAUGGCUCUGGUUAAUACCUGGGGUCGAUGACGGUACCGGAAGAAUAAGGACCGGCUAACUACGUGCCAGCCGCCGCGGUAA